GCUGAAAGCCUUUGUCACCAGAUCAUCAGGAGGCCCCUCUUAGGGAAUGUGGCAAGCACUAGCUGGGUCUACACAUCUCUUGACACUCAGAAAGGAUUAGGUGCCCUGGAUUUCAGACUUAGAAACUCGGGGUCAGCAUCGUCCAAUGCUUUGUUCAUUCACUUACUCGACUGAGGGAGAAAAGAGCUCUCGCCCCCCGGAAAGUAUUUUCAUGAACAUGAGGUUCAGUCUAUUAUCAUCACCAUUAUCAUCAUGGCAGGGAGCACGGCAUCACACAGGCAGACAUGGUGCUGGAGAAUGAGUAAGACUUCUACAUCUGGAUCCACAGGCAGCAGGAAGAGAGAGAGAGACACUGGGCCUGGAUUUAGUACUAAAAACCUCAAAUUCCACACCCAGUGACACACUUCCUCCAACAAGGCCAUUCCACCUAACCCUUCAAGCAAUGCCACUCCCUGAUGACUAAUCUUUCAAAGAUAUGAGCCUGUGGGGGCCAUCCUUAUUUGAAUCAACACAGCCACCAUGUCAAGUGACUCUUGCCCUGUCUCUGGCUUUUGAAUUGUUAGACAUGAACCCAGUGUCUGUGUGAGAAAAUGAAGAAUGC
RNAcentral lists this long non-coding RNA (601 nucleotides) under Mus pahari (shrew mouse). RNAcentral's name for it is "lncRNA (MGP_PahariEiJ_G0006348.1)". The record is from RNAcentral. Lineage: Eukaryota; Metazoa; Chordata; Mammalia; Rodentia; Muridae.